This is an RNA transcript of Mustela lutreola (European mink), 4595 nucleotides long. It is a transcript of the gene named ring finger protein 207, with no coding region annotated. The transcript is spliced from 15 exons. The record is from RefSeq and is a predicted model, not a curated record. Lineage: Eukaryota; Metazoa; Chordata; Mammalia; Carnivora; Mustelidae.
GGGGACCCUAAUUAUUUGGAAGCCCAGCAGGCGCAUUUCACGUCAUUAAACUCGCGGGCAUCACCGAGAGGCCGGCCCUGUGUCACCCGAGCUCUGAGGCUCUGAAAGGUCGGUGAUUUGGCCGCUCUGAGACCCCAACCCGCCAGAGACAGGCCUGGGAUUGCAGCCCCCUCCCCGCGCGCUCUCUCCAGCACCCGGCUGUCUGCCGAGAGGCGGCCGCUGCUCUCUGGCGCCCCCAACCGGCCGUGGAAGAAAUGGGGACCCGCAGACCCGGCGUUCCCGCCCCAGCGCGCAGGGAGAGAGCGGAGCUAGCCAGGGGGCCGCCAGAGUCAGGGUCCUCGGGCCGCGCCCUGCGCAGUGCUCCUGCGGCUCCAGGCUCCGGGCUCGGUCACCCCGGGCGGGAGCCAGUCAGCCUCGGACCCUCGCCCCACGCGGUCCUUUCCAGCCUCGGUGUUCCCGCCUCUGCCCUCGGGGCGACGCGCGGAGUGGCUGCAGCCGGAGCCCGUCGUCGCGGUGCAGGGACCGGCCUGGGAAGGGUGGACGGGAGACCCGCGCCCGAGUAAUGCUGCGGCCCAGCGAGUAAGGGGUGUCGCCUGCAGGUCACCCAGAGGACACCGGGAGGGGAAUUCCUGGGGUGGGAGUGAGGCGAGGUGGGUAAAGUGGAAGCAGGGGAGGCUAGACCUUGGGUAGGACGCACUGCGGCCUGACCUUCCAGGGCCGCCAACGGAGUGCGGGAGAAGAGGCGACCGCGCACAGGACCCCUCCGCACGCCUCCAGCCGGUUCCCCCUGCUCCCAGCGCUCCCAACCCCAGCGCUCCACGACCGCUGGACGCCCCGUCGGGUCCGGGUCUGGUAGAGAGGAAGGAGCCGCGCGGAGGCCGAGGGGGACGCGGGGGCUGGCGGGGACUGGCGCGGGGUCCGCGGCCGGGUCCCCGCACCGGACACGUCCCGCCGCCUUCCGGAGCUCUCCCAGAAGAUGUCGGGAGCUAUCUUCACGCCCCUGGAGGGCCUGGGUGCGCUGGACGCGGCGAGCGGCCACCCGCUGGUGUGCCCGCUGUGCCACGCACAGUUCGAGCGACCCUGCCUGUUGGACUGCUUCCACGACUUUUGCACCGGCUGCCUGCGCGGUCGCGCCACGGAUGGCCGCCUCGCCUGCCCGCUGUGCCAACACCAGACGGUGGUGAAGGGCCCCAGCGGGCUCCCUCCGGUGGAUCGGCUGCUGCAGUUCCUGGUGGACAGCUCGGGGGAUGGCUCGGAGGCCGUGCAUUGUGCCAACUGUGACCUGGAGUGCAACAAGCAGGAUGCAGAGACCACAUACUUCUGCAACACGUGUGGGCAGCCGCUGUGCGCGCGCUGCCGCGACGAAACGCACCGGGCACGCAUGUUCGCGCACCACGACAUCGUGGCUCUGGGCGAGCGCAGCCGCGACGUGCUCCAGAAGUGCAGUGAGUGCGGCGCACCGGGCAGGGGCCCGUGUGUCGGGGGCCGGUGGCCGGGAUGGCCGGAGCCGGACGGGGGCAGGCCUGCCCGGAGCCCUCACCGCUGCUCCCGCCGCAGCGCUGCACGCCGAGCCCUACAUCAUGUUCUCCACCGACAAGAAGUCGCUGCUGUGCAUCCGCUGCUUCCGGGACAUGCAGGGGGAGAGCCGAGCGCACUGCGUGGACCUCGAGUCAGCCUACAUGCAGGGCUGCGAGCGGCUGGAGCAGGCGGUGCUGGUGAGCGCGGGAGGGCCCGGCACCGGCACCGAGGGCGGGGGAUGGGCGCCCCCCGCUGGGCUGAGGCCGCCCUGUUCCCAGGCCGUGAAGGCCCUGCAGACGGCCACCCGGGAGGCCAUCGAACUGCUGCAGGCCAUGGUGGAGGAGGUGCGGCGCAGCGCCGCGGAGGAGGAGGCUGCCAUCCAUGCCCUCUUCGGCAGCAUGCAGACUGGCGGAGAAGAAAGCGCUGUUGCUGCAGGCUGUGCAGAGCCAAUACGAAGAGAAGGACAAAGCCUUCAAGGAGCAGCUCUCCCACCUGGCCACUCUGUUGCCCACCCUGCAGCUUGGCCAGUAAGGCUGAGUUCCUGGACCUGGGCUACGAGCUGAUGGAGAGGCUGCAGGCCAUCGUCACCCGUCCCCAGCACCUCCGGCCAGCGCAGGACAGCAAGAUCACUAGCGACCACCACGCGGAGUUUGCGCGCUGCCUGGAGCCGCUGCUGCUGCUGGGCCCACGGAUGGCAACAGGUGCUGGGGCCGGCACCAGCACGCUAGCAGCAGGCUCAGGCCCCAAGGUGCUGAUGGGGCCCAGCUGCCCUUCCCCAGCGGGAAGGAUGUUGGGGUCUCUGGUCCGAAAGCCCACGCCGCACCGGUCCAUCAGCACCAAGGUGCUGCUGACGGAGGGGGAGGACACGCCGUUCUCAGAGCACUGCCGCCACUAUGAGGACUCCUACCGGCGCCUGCAGGCAGAGAUUCAGAACCUGAAGGACCAGGUCCAAGAGCUGCACCGGGACCUCACCAAGCACCACUCGCUCAUCAAGGCGGAGAUCAUGGGAGACCUCCUGCACAAGUCCCUGCAGGUGGACGCGCAGAUUGCCUCCGAGUACGCUUCCCUGCAGGGGAUGAGAGCAGUCUUCCAGGAGAUUUGGGAGGAAUCCUACCAGCGGGUGGCUAACGAGCAGGAGAUUUACGAAGCCCAGCUCCAUGACCUUCUCCAGCUGAAGCAGGAGAAUGCCUACCUGACCACCAUCACCAAGCAGAUCACGCCCUACAUCCGCUCCAUUGCCAAGGUGAAAGAGCGGCUGGAGCCCAGAAGCUUGUGGAAUUUUCUCUGGUCCCAGGGUUCUGAAACUUCCCACUGGUGAGGGUCUACUUCCGUCCAUCAGAAAGAACCCGGUCUUUGCAGUCUGGAAGUUCACCUCCUUCAGUUUUGACACACAUCUUUUUGAACCAAGUUUUAGCAACUUUGAGGAAGAAGGAAAAUUAAAGUGUGUGCAACUGUAUGUUCACCCAAGCCACAAGUGAGCCUCCUGACUCGGGGACGUCAGACUCGGCACAGCUCUGCACAGUCCUGGUGGCGUCCGGGUCUACCCAGGAUGGGCUGCAGCGUCUCCUCAGCGGGCAUUCAAAGCCGUUCACUCCACACACUGCACAAUUCCAUUUAUAAAACCUCCGAACCAGACACACCUGCAUCAGCAGUUGAGAUGCUGAUGAUCCCUGGGGGCCUCUGGGUGGAGGUGACGUUCUGGGUCCUGCCUACCCAACUUAUUCAGGCUACGCACACGUACCAGCCUCGUUCUUAUCAAUGGUGCACAUUUCCUUCUGGGUGCUCUGCUUCAGUGCGAAAAUGGCUUCAAGUAAUGUGCUACUGGCUGCCUGGCUUUGUGGGGGAAAUGGCGCCUGUGAUCCGUUUUGGCAAAGCGCAAGCAGCUCAGGCUAGAGCCUGGCUCCUGGAGGUUCGAAGGGAGGAAGGAGGUUGCCUCCAUCCCUUUCCAGGGCCCCAUUUUCCAGGUGUCUGGUGCUGCCGCCUCUGCUUCCUCCCCUUGCACUGCGGGCAGCCCCACCCGCCCCGAGCCCGCUCCUGGGGCCGGUUGUCCUCAGGGGCCUCUGGCUGCAGCCCUCGGUCUCUCAGUAGUGCUCACGGCCGUCCUCACCACACUCCUCUCUUUCUUCCGAGGCAGCCCACACCUGUUUCCCUCCUGCCGCUCAGGCUGUCCCUUCUUAGGCUGUCUGGCCACUCUGCCACCUCUGCGCGGUGCCCAAGCGUCAGCUUUCCCCACGGCCCAGUCCUACGGCCUCUCCCCAUCCCACACCCUAUGCUUAAGUGGCUUCACCCAGUCCCAACUUUAAAAUCCCACUGUGACACAGACGACCUUCAAGCCCUCCCCAGCACAAGCCCUUCUGAGCUGCAGACCCCUCUCCAACGGCCCCUUCCUGGGGAUCUCCACUUGGACACAUCACAGGUGCCUCAGCUCCCCCAGUGACAGGACUCCAUAACCGUCCCCCCAACAGUGAGUGACACCACAGCAUCCAGAUGCCCCAGUGAGAAGGCCAGGGGCCUUCUGAUUCCUUUCCUUUCUUUUCCUCACCUCAUUUCCAACAACCCUGAGUCCUGCUGACAUGACUGUCUCAGGCCAUAGCUGUCCCCAUGGCUGCCCCAGGCCAAGCCACCGUCACUGACCAUCUCCGGCCCCUCUAGGGUGUUCCAUAGCCAGCGGUCUUAAAGCCUAGAGUUCCCAUCACUCUGGGCCUGACAGCCCUUUUGGGACCCUCCUUGUCCCCCUCCAACCAGACUAGCCCCUCACCACACUCCAGUCACAAUGGCCUUUCAGUUCCCCAGACAAGUCAGACGAGUUCCCCCUUCCCAUCCUCUGCCUGGACCGCUCUUACUUCAGACUGUCCGAGAACCUCUCCACACGGGUCCCUGCUGCCUGGCCCCGCGGCGCCUUCUUCCCAACCUCCGCAUGUCUCCUGACCACAACGCAGCUGUCCCGAGAACAGCCCCAGCCCUAGUCAGUAUCUGAGGACCAAAACCCUAGGCAGGCCCAUGAGUGUCUCGCUCAGUUGGGUUGUCUAGAGAGCUGCAGACAGGCUGCCUUCAAGCCUGCUGGGAGCUGUUUCUCU